UAGGAAAGGCCCUUGAGCUUGUCCUCACGAGUAAGGAAACCAAAAGCUCUCUCACGAAAGCAAUGAUCACACAUGCCCCACCACUCUGUGACCUCAGCACAGUCACCUUAGAAAGCCUCACAGUCCCCUCAGUGCCAUUCCACACUCAGCACAGGAAGAGGGUGUGAUGAGCCAUGACAGCCACUGCCAGGUGUCACCUUCCACUUGGGCUCCAGCUGCAGGAGAGGGACAGACCCAGGAGAUGGAAAGAGAGAUCUCUGGCUACACGCAGAGAAAAGGCAGAGAGUCAGGACUGAUUGCUCCUCACCCCUCAGACCUUCCCUUUGCAUCAUACAUGACACAAAGUCUCUCCUCGCCACCCUCUGGGGGUGGCACACUUGAGAGGGAAUGCUUUUAGACUUUGAAAACCUCCCAGAAAGAUGGACAGACAGCCUGUCAUACCAACAGUAAGAUCCUGCAGGGAACAGGACCAGCCAUGGACCUGACCCUACCUUCCUGCCAAAUUCCCAGGCAGAAGGUGGCCAAGACGAAAGCUCCCAUCUCAACUGUUUCUGCCUCUACUUGCUCCAGCUCUGGAGCUGGUCCCCUCUGCAAGCUGAGACGCGUGCCUGGGCUCAGACACCAGCGCCUCCCCAGAGAAAGCAUGUUGCUGCCGCAGUCCACGAGCUUCUGUGCCACUGCCCAGGCCAAGGACUAAGAUAGAGCCCCCCAUUCAGGCCAGGAGGCUCAUUAAAAAUGAGAAAAUUAACCCUAUAUUGCUCUACACAAGGAGAAAUCUUUGUGGUUUUUGUCUUGCUCUGCUACAUUUUUCUUGUGCUCCUGCAGCC
Chiroxiphia lanceolata (lance-tailed manakin) is the source of this 827-nucleotide long non-coding RNA. RefSeq lists it as uncharacterized. The transcript has 3 exons. NCBI's taxonomy places the organism in Eukaryota, Metazoa, Chordata, Aves, Passeriformes, Pipridae. The record is from RefSeq and is a predicted model, not a curated record.